GGCCGUUUCUAACCAUUCUCAUGGGUUCGCAGUAGAGAGUCUGCUGUAAAUGACCGUCUGAAGAAAAUUUAAAGUUUCCUCAGAUUGCUUCCUAUGGAAGCAUCCAUAAUUUCUACUUAAAAUAAAGAAAUUGAAAUCUCAUAAAACCUGUAAAUCCAGCGAGUGGUGGCCUAUGAGAGCAGGAACCAAGUCUGUUUUGUUCGUUCUUAUAUCUACGGUGCUUUACACAGCGGCAUGGGCCGUUGAUAAAUAUUUGUUGCAUUAAUGUGUGAGUGGAAACCAGGACAAGACAACCGGACUGCUCUGUAUACCUUUAGCACUUAGAUUUACAUAAGCAACAUCUAUUGCUUUUGAGCAAAUUCAGUAAUUAUUGGAUACCUUCUACCCGUAAGGGAGCAUGCAAGAUAACAGGGAUAAAGGGAUCCGUUAAGACGAAUGAUACGACUCCUGCCUAAAGUCAUUGGUUAUUACAGUUUAAUAUCAUUGAAGUAAGAUUGCAGGACAUUACGAAGGAAUGCGGGAUUUCAUCUGAUGGAACCUUUAAAUGCUUUACAAUUUCAUCCUGCAGCUCGAAUUUCACAAUGCUGGGAUCCAGAAAGCAUUAGUGGUUAGACACACUCAGCGGUGCAGGUAUAAUGUGGACAUCUUUUCUUCUGUGUAUUCUGAGUCCCAAGUAUCCUAUAAGCUACGAUUGAAAUACAUACAGGACUUAUAAAGAUGUCUCACUGAUCGGGAUCACAGGACAGAUCUGUGUGCACUGUGACUAAAUAAAAACAAGACUAUUGGCAAGCUGGAUGCUUUUUCUCUGCCAACCACAGUUUUUUCGGCAACUCCUUUUUAACCAAAAUCUAGAAUCUUUGAGUGACAAUUGUAACACCAGAACACCAUCUGGGAAGUGCCCUGGAAAUGCUCUUGUUACAUGGCGCUGGUUGGAGGACCAUCUUGGAUGGUCCUGAGAAAGGAAUCAAGAACAAAGGACAUUAAAAUGAAACUAUUCUGUUUGUGUAAUAAAUAGCAAUCAUUACUUUGUUCUUAUCAUUUUUAGAAAUUAACUCUUAAGUGUACUUGGGUGAUUUAGUUGAACAUUCAAUCCUUGAUUUCAGCUCAGGUCAACAAUCUCAAGGUCGUGA
Molecule: long non-coding RNA, 1130 nt
Organism: Canis lupus familiaris (dog)
Lineage: Eukaryota; Metazoa; Chordata; Mammalia; Carnivora; Canidae
Exons: 5
Source: RefSeq, a predicted model, not a curated record